This 865-nucleotide long non-coding RNA is filed under the name Chinchilla lanigera (long-tailed chinchilla). Its description in RNAcentral is "lncRNA (ENSCLAG00000022772.1)". The record is from RNAcentral. Lineage: Eukaryota; Metazoa; Chordata; Mammalia; Rodentia; Chinchillidae.
UUAGAAAUGUCCCCUUUCCUACCCACACUUUUUAAAGACACAAUUGCAUUAGUGACUGCCUUUGGGAAUUUUAAAAUCCAUUCUGUGAACAAGGAGAAAUGCAGACAUGUUGGCAACACUGAUCAUUUUUGUUGUGGAUCUCAUGCUUGCUUCGGUUGUUGUGAUUAUUCUAUAUGCUGUUUGCUUAAUAGUAGCCACAGGUAUUUUUAUCUCAGUCAUUUUCUAUAUUUACACCGGAGAGAUGGAAAAACAUUGUGACUUCAACAAGGUUAGAAUUCUAGCAAUGCCGGACUCUAGCAGUGCUCCUGGGAAGAUGCUUGCUGGUCGCAUGGAGAAUGUCAGCUACGGGAUGUUUCCGGUCCAUUUUCCAGCUGUGCAAGAAGGGACCUUUCUGUCUAAGGAGAGUGAUGCUGGCUUCUACAGCACAAGGAACUCAGUACAGUGGAAGAGCCAGAGGAAGGCUUGGCAGAUCCCACCCACAACCAACCAACCAUUCUUUUUUCAGGUAGCUGGGAAAAGACACUCACUAAAAAGAACUACCAGAACUACUUCAGAAAGUGUCCAGAACAAUGGGGUAAGUGUGCUCAAGGUGAGAAGUGUUUUUUUUGUUUUUUUUUUUUGUUUGUUUGUUUGUUUUUGGUUUUUGGUUUUUCUCCGGUAUCGGGAACCGAACUCACGACCUUGCGCUUGCCAGGCAGGCGCUUUUGCCACUGAGCUAAAUCCCCAGCCCCGAGAAGUGUUUUGAAGGUGAUUAAUGGCAGUGUAUCUUUUACUAUAAUAAAUGUUAAAAUUCUUAUUUAAGCAUUUACUGUACUUUGUGAUCAUACCUCAUAAAAUACUGUAAUGCAGCUACUAUGGAAAGCAA